RNAcentral lists this ribosomal RNA (486 nucleotides) under uncultured bacterium. RNAcentral describes it as "partial 16S ribosomal RNA". It matches the Rfam family "Bacterial small subunit ribosomal RNA", at positions 30 to 507 of the family's 1533-position model. The record is from RNAcentral.
AUUGAACGCUGGCGGCAUGCCUUACACAUGCAAGUCGAACGGCAGCACGGGUGCUUGCCCCUGGUGGCGAGUGGCGAACGGGUGAGUAAUACAUCGGAACAUGUCCUGUAGUGGGGGAUAGCCCGGCGAAAGCCGGAUUAAUACCGCAUACGAUCCACGGAUGAAAGCGGGGGACCUUCGGGCCUCGCGCUAUAGGGUUGGCCGAUGGCUGAUUAGCUAGUUGGUGGGGUAAAGGCCUACCAAGGCGACGAUCAGUAGCUGGUCCGAGAGGACGACCAGCCACACUGGGACUGAGACACGGCCCAGACUCCUACGGGAGGCAGCAGUGGGGAAUUUUGGACAAUGGGCGAAAGCCUGAUCCAGCAAUGCCGCGUGUGUGAAGAAGGCCUUCGGGUUGUAAAGCACUUUUGUCCGGAAAGAAAUCCUUGACUCUAAUACAGUCGGGGGAUGACGGUACCGGAAGAAUAAGCACCGGCUAACUACGUG